GAACCGAUUGAAACCAAAAGAAAGCGUAUUGUGGAAAAAACAAAACGUACUGUAAAAAAUUAAAAGGUUAGGGUUUAACUGAGAAAACCAAUUGAAGCAUCUAUUAUGAAAGAAAAUCAUUAAAAUCUUAAGUUCCAGCAAACGGUAAAUUGAUUUUAGCAAGGAGUCGAAACUUAUCACAGUUAUAAGCUCCAAACUUCACAUCCAGGUUGUUGAACAAUAGUCCAUUUCCAGUUUCAGUGAGCAAAGCAUCUUAGAGAGAAGAGAGAAAGACGAAUGUAUAGUUAGAAAAAAAAGAAAAAAUAUAGAUGAAUGAAGAAGGUAAGAGAUGGAGCGGUGGAGACAUAGUGGAGGGCCGGUGUUUAAUGGAGAUCCUCCUACCUGUGUCAAAAUGUGCAUACAGUCGAGGUUAAAAAAGAGAUACACGAAUCGAUCAAGAGACAGAUAAGAUAGAAAGAAGUACCUAUUAGUGUCGAAGGCUUUCCAGAGAAAGAACGAAGUUGGUGUCGAUCAAUUUUAAAACAUUUGUACAGCGGUGGAGACUUGAAGCAUUUGUAACGAUGAAGGAGGCGGUAGAGAAGGGGCGAUGCUGAAGUGAGAGAGGGGUAGGAUCAUCGAUUAGGAAUUAGCCAACAUCGGCUUGUACCCGGCUGAGAAAUAGAGGAUCGUCUAAUCCGGGAUGCCAUGGCGUCGAUGCUCUUCGGUUUGUGGGAGCAGCAUCUGCAAAAUUUAGGGAUUAAAUUUAGGUCUACAAAUCAUACAAAUCGAGAUUCAAAGUGAAGUUUAGAGAACGAAAAACAAACAUGUUGCAAGAUGGCGCCGGCUACGUUAUAGAAUACUUCAUCGACUACACCACCAACAUCGGCGACCAUCACUCAUGCAAUCACUGGUGCCCCAGUGGCGUACGACGGGUCGAUUUUGCCGCCGAUGCGAUGAGGUUUCUGGAAAGAAAUCAGAGUGCGUAGCAGGAGAGGUGGGUUGGGGAAAGUGGUGGCUGAAUAGAAACAUGGAAGAGGAAAACGUAACGAACCGAAGCAGACGGUGGUGAUGGCGGUGCUCAAUUGGCUAUUUCGUCAAAGUGAGAGAAAUCGACAUUCUUAGUGAAGGUGUGUGGUUGUUUUCAGGAUUCCUUCAUCGAUAAAACAAAUAGGGUAUAAUCAACCUCUAAUGUCUGCCUCCCGCUUUCCUAUGAGGAACAAAAUUUCCUCUGUUUCAAACAUUUUCUGUCUCUCGUUCCAUACUAUCUUCGCCGCCGCUGGUCAGCCGCUCCCCGUCGCCAUAUAUAAUCGAUUGAGGGAAAGCGAUGGAUAAAACGGGAUAGGGGAUAGAACUGGAAUCG
This 1339-nucleotide long non-coding RNA is filed under the name Lactuca sativa (garden lettuce). Its description in RNAcentral is "long non-coding RNA (LSAT_LNC000324)". The record is from RNAcentral. Lineage: Eukaryota; Viridiplantae; Streptophyta; Magnoliopsida; Asterales; Asteraceae.